GAUGAACGCUAGCGGCAGGCCUAAUACAUGCAAGUCGAACGGGAUCUGAGGGUAGCUUGCUACCCGAUUUGAGAGUGGCGCACGGGUGCGUAACGCGUGAGCAACCUACCCAUAUCAGGGGGAUAGCCCGAAGAAAUUCGGAUUAACACCGCAUAAUAAUACGCUAACACAUGUUGAUGUAUUUAAAUAUUUAUAGGAUAUGGAUGGGCUCGCGUGACAUUAGCUAGUUGGUAAGGUAACGGCUUACCGAGGCGACGAUGUCUAGGGGCUCUGAGAGGAGAAGCCCCCACACUGGUACUGAGACACGGACCAGACUCCUACGGGAGGCAGCAGUAAGGAAUAUUGGUCAAUGGGCUCAAGCCUGAACCAGCCAUGCCGCGUGCAGGAUGACUGCCCUAUGGGUUGUAAACUGCUUUUGUUAGGGAAUAAACCUUCUUACGUGUAAGGAGCUGAAUGUACCUAAAGAAUAAGGAUCGGCUAACUCCGUGCCAGCCGCCGCCGUAA
Molecule: ribosomal RNA, 504 nt
Filed under: uncultured bacterium
Lineage: Bacteria
Description: partial 16S ribosomal RNA
Rfam family: Bacterial small subunit ribosomal RNA
Source: RNAcentral